GUUCUUGUUCAUUACAAAUGGGCUGCAGUCAAGAGCCUGUAAUAAAGUAGUUGUUGUUUGUUGCUUAUGCAGCCUGACUGUAUAUAUUUUUUUCUUUCCAAAAUCAUGAUCCUUUAAAUCAGUGCUUGUCGUUUGUUGAUGUGUACCAUACUCUAAAUGGUCAUUAUGCACUCAUACUGCCAUUAUGUCUGGUUGCUAACACAGUCUGUUUUCUAUGUAAUUUGACGUUUCCUUUUUUGUGGUUCAGUGUGUUUAUUGUUCCGUAUUUCUCAUAUAUUUAAUGUGUUUCCCUCGGUUUUAGUUUGUUAGCCGGAUUUGUUUUUUGCUUAAUCGAAUUAUAACUAUUGAACAGCGGUAUACUACUGUUGCCUUUAUUUUGCAACCAGUCUAUAUUUGGCAAAAUAAAAAAUAAAACUUGUGCUUAAAUAUUAAAAUAUAAAGACAUUCAAAUUGAUAAAUGUCAAGUGAAGUAUGGCAUUGAAUACUAGUAGUAGCUUUUCGUUUGUUUUUCAAAUUUGAUCUUAGGUGUAUUUAUUUUUUGUAUAAACUUGUAUUCUGAGGAGUACCGCCGUGAGGUACAUGUAUGGUGUGAAAGAGUACAAUUAGCACACUGUAUUAGCUCAGAUACAUAAAUAAGCAAUUGUCUAUCCCGUUCUUCUACUAAAUCUUAUUGAAGCGAUUCGUAAGUUAGAUAUCAAGUAUGUAAAUGAGUUGACAAAGUGAACUUUUCAGUUUCAAAGCAAAUAUUACCAUUACAAACACGGAAUCACCGACUAGUCGCAUUGAGCAGACGUAACCGGAUGCAGCGGAUUGAUUUGACCGAAUUACGAUAGAGUAAGAUCAAAGAUUAGAGUAAAAUAUAAGAUGCUCAUGAAAUUAUUGCCUACACACGAGUAACCAGGUGCUCCGCAGGGCGCAGCUUUAUACGACCGCAGAGGUCGAACCCUGAACAGUUGGGCAAGUAUGGACAAAACAUUCAAGCGUGAUACAGCUAAUGAAUUUGGAUUGUGGAUCAAAUUUUUGACAUUACAUGGUUUUUUUUACACAAAACAAAUGUCAAGAGUUUUACAAAUCAAUUAAAGAUUUC
This 1087-nucleotide long non-coding RNA is filed under the name Mytilus galloprovincialis (Mediterranean mussel). The record is from RNAcentral. Lineage: Eukaryota; Metazoa; Mollusca; Bivalvia; Mytilida; Mytilidae.